RNAcentral lists this ribosomal RNA (628 nucleotides) under uncultured archaeon. RNAcentral describes it as "bacterial SSU rRNA". It matches the Rfam family "Archaeal small subunit ribosomal RNA", at positions 1 to 617 of the family's 1478-position model. The record is from RNAcentral.
UCCGGUUGAUCCUGCCAGAGGCCGCUGCUAUCCGGCUGGGACUAAGCCAUGCUAGUCUAGGGGCUUGCACUCCUUUGGGGGUGCAAGCACCGGCGGACGGCUCAGUAACACGUGGACAACCUGCCCUCGGGUGGGGGAUAACCCCGGGAAACUGGGGCUAAUCCCCCAUAGGUGAUGGGUGCUGGAAUGCCCCAUCUCCGAAAGCGCUUAGCGCCCGAGGAUGGGUCUGCGGCGGAUUAGGUAGUUGGUGGGGUAACGGCCCACCAAGCCUAAGAUCCGUACGGGCUGUGGGAGCAGGAGCCCGGAGAUGGACCCUGAGACAAGGGUCCAGGCCCUACGGGGCGCAGCAGGCGCGAAACCUCCGCAAUGCGGGAAACCGCGACGGGGUUAGCCGGAGUGCCCGUGCAUUGCACGGGCUGUCGGGGUGCCUAAACAGCACCCCAUAGCAAGGGCCGGGCAAGGCCGGUGGCAGCCGCCGCGGUAAGACCGGCGGCCCGAGUGGCGGCCACUCUUAUUGGGCCUAAAGCGUCCGUAGCCGGCCCAGUAAGUCCCCCGGGAAAUCUGGUCGCUUAACGAUCAGACUUCCGGGGGAUACUGCUGGGCUAGGGACCGGGAGAGGCCGAGGGUA